This 158-nucleotide ribosomal RNA is filed under the name Cladosporium cladosporioides. RNAcentral describes it as "5.8S ribosomal RNA". The stretch from base 89 to 158 matches the Rfam family "5.8S ribosomal RNA", at positions 1 to 70 of the family's 154-position model. Lineage: Eukaryota; Fungi; Ascomycota; Dothideomycetes; Cladosporiales; Cladosporiaceae. The record is from RNAcentral.
CGACCCUGCCUUCGGGCGGGGGCUCCGGGUGGACACUUCAAACUCUUGCGUAACUUUGCAGUCUGAGUAAACUUAAUUAAUAAAUUAAAACUUUUAACAACGGAUCUCUUGGUUCUGGCAUCGAUGAAGAACGCAGCGAAAUGCGAUAAGUAAUGUGA